RNAcentral lists this small nucleolar RNA (63 nucleotides) under Drosophila grimshawi. RNAcentral describes it as "snoRNA:GH25798". Lineage: Eukaryota; Metazoa; Arthropoda; Insecta; Diptera; Drosophilidae. The record is from RNAcentral.
GUGAUGCUUUAAUAUACCGCCCCAGUCGGAAUUAACAAUGACGAUUGGUUUUAUAUACUGAUA